CAGUAAACAGAAAUGUAUAUCAGAUUAUAUUAAAACUAUUUUUUAUUAAAAAUAAUUUUUUUCUCUCUCUACAAUUCUCAGAGUAGGGCACAAUGAGGUCAUUGGAGUAUGCCGGACAGGAAUUGAUGCCGAAGGCCUUGGAAGAGAUCACUGGAAUGAAAUGUUGGCUUACCCACGUAAACCAAUAACUCACUGGCACCCAUUAGUAGAGCUACCUGGCCGAGCAACCAGUUUUGAUAGCCAGGGAUCCUGCUCCUCACCCAAACCACCACUUACACCCUAGGGAGCAAGAGUGGAUUCAUCACGGUCAGUGUCCAAAGCUCCCUCAUAGCUCACAUCUGCAUAAACAGAAGGUUUGGCUUCCGCAGAUGACCUGUAUCCAGAUUUUUUAAUCAAAAUACAUCUUUCCUAUUCUAAGUCUUAUAUGACAGUUUAUAAUUAUUUGUUAAUGUGUGAAUGAAGUUUAUUCAAGUCAAAUAUAACCCUUCCUUAUGCAAAUUAAUUCACCUGUUUUAUCUCUAGCAUAUAUCCAGUGUCAUAUUUAAGCAGUGUUUUGAUGGUGCCUGUGUCUUUUCAUAGACAAAGAAACAAGAAAAAAAAAUCCCUUAAGCAAUUCAAAACUACUGCAGCUUUUAACACCUAAUUCUUUUGAGGGAGAGUAAAUAGUCAUAUACAGCUCAUGUAGUAAAUUCCUUCUAAAUUGCACUAGAUCCUCUAUGACUGCAAGAUAGCACUUCAAGCUGAAUGUUGCAUUAAAAAAAAAAAGCAACCUGUUGUCAUGUUUUGAGUAUCUGGAAAAUCAGUUAAUUCCUUGGGCAGGGAGGAGGGGCUGAUUUAAAGCCCACUGGAGCCAAUGAGGUGGAUUUACUGACUUCAGUGGGUUUUAGUCUAGCCCUUAUGAAACAGGUAUGAGUUAUAACCUUCCAGCACCCUUGAUGACAGCUGCAUUUCUACAGAAGUCAAACUGCAGAGGAGAGAAUGCUCUAAAGGAAUGAACUAAAGGAAUUGAUUUAAUGUGAUUUAUCUCUUAAAAAACUUGACCAAAUAUUGCAGUUACCCACAGCAUUUUUGUGAUUCUUGAUUUAAUGUGACAGACUUAAAUAUCUUUGAAGUUAUUUUGACUAAGUGCACAACACACAUGGAAUUUAGUUUCUGGUUGCUGGCUGGAUGCCUCUAGACAUAUAAGCUAAAUAUGAAUUUGAGAUGUGUUUUCUGUCUAUGGAGACAAAAAUUGAAAUGUGACUAUUUUACAAGCAAGUAAACUCAUUUAUUAGAAUACACAGCGACAGCAAACGCAAAAGUCUAUUGGCUGUAGACAGAUACUUUAGGAACUAGAAGAAAACUGGAUAUUAUUUUGUGGAUUUAUAUCUAAACACUGCAGUUUACCUCAGUAAGAUAAAUCAGAUUGGUACUUUCUUUUUUCCUUUUUUCUUUCUUUCUGUGAAGAGUGUAGCACAGAUGGCAUGAUUGGGUCUGAGGUUUUGAAAACUGGACUGUAAUUAAAACAAAGUUGGGUGGUGGCACAUUGUGCCAUAUCUUUGCAAUAUAUAUAAAGAAAACUGAGGAAACAGUGUUUUUCAAAAC
This is a long non-coding RNA of Ficedula albicollis (Collared flycatcher), 1584 nucleotides long. Lineage: Eukaryota; Metazoa; Chordata; Aves; Passeriformes; Muscicapidae. The record is from Ensembl.